Triticum aestivum (bread wheat) is the source of this 2669-nucleotide long non-coding RNA. RefSeq lists it as uncharacterized. Lineage: Eukaryota; Viridiplantae; Streptophyta; Magnoliopsida; Poales; Poaceae. The record is from RefSeq and is a predicted model, not a curated record. The transcript is spliced from 5 exons.
CCUUAUCCUCCGCAACCACCACUCCCAUCCCACCGGCUCCGGCCGCCGCCCCCACUCCAGGCUCCGGCUGCUGCCCUCGCUCCUGUCUCCCCUCGCUUCGGCCGCUGCCCCGCUCCCAUCUCCCCUGGCUCCGGCCGUCUCCCCGCUCCCAUCUCCCCUGGCUCAGGCCGUCGCCUCUCUCCCGUCUCCCCCGGCUCAGGCCGUCGCCUCGCUCCCGUCUCCCCCGGCUCCGGCCGCCGCCCCGCUCCCGUCUCCCCCGGCUCCAGCCACCGCCCCACCCCCGUGUCUACUAGGUCCAGCUGGCACCUCGUCCCCAUCUCCUCCACGACCCCAUCGAUGUCCAGCUCGCCUCCCAUGCAAUGCCUGUAGGCCCUCGCGCAAAUCAUCCUUGCUCCUCCCGAGACCAAAGCACGCAGCCGCCGGCAACCUGGCCGCCGUGCGUCACUGCCGGCCGCGUUCCUCCGCGCCUCCCCAAUCCACCACACAUCGCCACUGCCGCUCCAGCGUCGCCCUCUGCCGCCUAAGCUCACAGUCCGUUCAAAUUCAGUCACCAGGCCGUUCAUCACCACCACCAAAGCCCGUUCAUUUAGCGUCGUUCAUGGAGCUGCCAAUGUGGUCGCUGGGGCUAGAACUGUAAGAUCUGCAGCUCAUCAGUCCAACUUCUUGCUCCGUCGCCGGUCACUCAAAAAAGAGCCGUGUGCAGGCCACCUCGUGCUCGGCCCCCUGAUCCGGCAUUUUUGGUUUCUCUAUUUUAUGUUACGAUGGUAGUGACAUUGGAGAAGAAAGGUGUGUCGAGGUACAAAUCUUGAGUUUUUGGAGGUUCAAUGCAUUGCUGCUAAAAGCAGCAUCCAGGACGACCUCGACCUACUGCCACUAGCAGUUGGUGCACCUCCUGUUAGUUGCUAGCUGUUACCUAGCGUGCUUGAUGCUACCGCUACAAAGAAGGGUACCCGGCGACAGCGGAUAGGCGGCAAGUGUACUGGUGAGCAGCUACCCAGAAAAUACUGGAACAAGGCUUCCAAAGUAAGCUCCUUGCUUCUUGCUUCUCUUUAAAUCUCUUGAGCUUUACAUGGUAUGUUCAAGACAAGUCCUCUAGUGGUUGUAUUGUAUGACGUUCGUUUAAAUGAUCGGCUAUACUGACACCGCAUACGUGGAAACUUAAAAGAAAAUAAAAGGUGUUAAUGGAGAAAUAUAAGAACAAAAACAGUUAUGUGUAGCCAUCUAGCAACAUGGUGAUCAGACAAAAUCCCGACAGCCACCCUCCAUGGUGAUCAAUUCCAUGUGCUGAUGGGUAUGCUUGCUUAGCACAAAAUUCAUAAACUGUCAAUUUAUUUUGAAUUGAACUGAUGCUGCUCUUGAUUCAGACCUGAGGGGAGAAGACGGAACUAGAAUGAUUCAGUUCAUCAUUGGCACCCCUGUAAACCAAACAGUGAAGAACACACCCACUGUACUUUUGCUCUUGUUCUUUCUAUCUCCUGAAUUCCAUGCUUUCUGUGAUGAGCAUGCUUGGUACUAUAUAGAUACUGCUGUAGUAGUUCUAAUACAAUAUAUUACAAGAAUUCAUUGACAAAAAAGGUGUCAGUUCAUAUAUGUAUGCAGCAGCUGUUUUGAUACUACUUCAGUAACCAGAAAAACACAAAAGCUCAACUAUACUUAUGCAAAAUAGUUCAAUAUUUUAUUCUAUGACAGUCAAGAAAAACAGAAAAAAGAGGUUCAUCGUGUGAUGAACAAUAGUCCCAACAACUGUGCUAGAGAUGCAAAAAAUUGAUAGCAUAGCCGAUGCUAGUUUUCAUCCAAUUUCUGAAGAAAACUGAAGUUGAAGAAUAAUCUGUUAGUUCUUGAGUAUGUGUAAUGCUGCCAUUUUACUGUGCAUUUGAUUCCAUCGUGAUGGAUGUAUUACAAAGAUAUGGCUGUAUUAUUAUGUUGAAUAAAAAUGCCAUUUUGCUGCAACAUUUUCUGUCUGCUCCUGUCAAGUUAUACAUGUAUGUGAGGAUCCUUCUAUGUAGUAAGUUCAUAGUCGAGAAGUCAGGGACUUCGUAAAGAACGUGAACACCAAAAAACCAUUAAAAAACCUAAACCAUAUGUUAGGGGAGUUCAAGAAGUUCAUGGCUAGCUGUCCGUGUUCUGUAUUCUUAUCAGUUCACAAUCGAGAAGACAUGUAUUCUUAUCAGUUUGUUUAUCUAGCCCGUCGUGCUGUGUAUUCUGGUCAGUUCGUGUGUGUAUGUGUUGCCCUCGCAGUGUAUGAGAGGCCGCCCAUGAGGAAGUCGUCGAUCUGGUCGAGGCAUGCUGCUAUUCUCUAUAUCCGGUAGCACAAACAUUUAAAAGUUCAAACACCAAACCCUGGUACUAUGUGGUGGCAUUGCUACAGUUCUCUUGUUACGUUCUCUUCGCCCAAAUUCGGAGGAUCAAGAAAAUAAAAUAUCAUCGUUUUGACAUGCACUACUCAAAAGAAGGCAUUUCUAUUGAAAAAUUGUUUCGCUUGACAUGUACUUGCCAACAAUUAUGUAUAAUAAAUCAUGGCAUUGUAUGUAGAAAAAGAUAUAUUGUGUGUUCUGCUGUUGUAUUGAGUUGCUAUCUAUUGCUAAUUGUAUGAUGUUGCUAUUGCUCUCCGUGUCAUGUUAUGCAAGUUGACACCGAGUACACAUUGGAUGAUAUACUUCCGGUUUUUA